This 332-nucleotide ribosomal RNA is filed under the name uncultured Acidobacteriota bacterium. RNAcentral describes it as "bacterial SSU rRNA". It matches the Rfam family "Bacterial small subunit ribosomal RNA", at positions 568 to 898 of the family's 1533-position model. Lineage: Bacteria; Pseudomonadati; Acidobacteriota. The record is from RNAcentral.
CGCGUAGGCGGCCUGCUAAGUCGAACGUGAAAUCCCCGGGCUCAACCCGGGAACUGCGUCCGAUACUGGCAGGCUUGAAUCCGGGAGAGGGAUGUGGAAUUCCAGGUGUAGCGGUGAAAUGCGUAGAUAUCUGGAGGAACACCGGUGGCGAAGGCGGCAUCCUGGACCGGUAUUGACGCUGAGGCGCGAAAGCCAGGGGAGCAAACGGGAUUAGAUACCCCGGUAGUCCUGGCCCUAAACGAUGAAUGCUUGGUGUGGCGGGUAUCGAUCCCUGCCGUGCCGAAGCUAACGCAUUAAGCAUUCCGCCUGGGGAGUACGGUCGCAAGGCUGAA